RNAcentral lists this ribosomal RNA (523 nucleotides) under uncultured archaeon. RNAcentral describes it as "bacterial SSU rRNA". It matches the Rfam family "Archaeal small subunit ribosomal RNA", at positions 325 to 849 of the family's 1478-position model. The record is from RNAcentral.
ACGGGGUGCAGCAGGCGCGAACACUUUACAAUGCGGGAAACCGCGAUAAGGGAACCCCGAGUGCCAGCAUCAAAUGUUGGCUGUCCAGAUGAUUAAAAAUCAUUUGUUAGCAAGGGCCGGGCAAGACCGGUGCCAGCCGCCGCGGUAACACCGGCGGCCCGAGUGGUAGCCGUUUUUAUUGGGUCUAAAGGGUCCGUAGCCGGCCUGAUAAGUCCUUUGGGAAAUCUGGCAGCUUAACUGUCAGGCUUCUAAGGGAUACUGUCAGGCUUGGGACCGGAAGAGGUAAGGGGUACUCCAGGGGUAGGAGUGAAAUCUUGUAAUUCCCUGGGGGACCAUCUGUGGCGAAGGCGCCUUACCAGAACGGGUCCGACGGUGAGGGACGAAAGCUAGGGGAGCAAACCGGAUUAGAUACCCGGGUAGUCCUAGCUGUAAACGAUGCUCGCUAGGUGUCAGACACGGUGCGACCGUGUUUGGUGCCGCAGGGAAGCCGUUAAGCGAGCCACCUGGAAGUACGUCGCAAGGC